This 486-nucleotide ribosomal RNA is filed under the name uncultured bacterium. RNAcentral's name for it is "partial 16S ribosomal RNA". It matches the Rfam family "Bacterial small subunit ribosomal RNA", at positions 30 to 507 of the family's 1533-position model. The record is from RNAcentral.
AUUGAACGCUGGCGGCAUGCCUUACACAUGCAAGUCGAACGGCAGCACGGGUGCUUGCACCUGGUGGCGAGUGGCGAACGGGUGAGUAAUACAUCGGAACAUGUCCUGUAGUGGGGGAUAGCCCGGCGAAAGCCGGAUUAAUACCGCAUACGAUCUACGGAUGAAAGCGGGGGCCCUUCGGGCCUCGCGCUAUAGGGUUGGCCGAUGGCUGAUUAGCUAGUUGGUGGGGUAAAGGCCUACCAAGGCGACGAUCAGUAGCUGGUCUGAGAGGACGACCAGCCACACUGGGACUGAGACACGGCCCAGACUCCUACGGGAGGCAGCAGUGGGGAAUUUUGGACAAUGGGCGAAAGCCUGAUCCAGCAAUGCCGCGUGUGUGAAGAAGGCGUUCGGGUUGUAAAGCACUUUUGUCCGGAAAGAAAUCCUUGGCCCUAAUACGGUCGGGGGAUGACGGUACCGGAAGAAUAAGCACCGGCUAACUACGUG